ACGGAAGGCAGCAGUGGGGAAUAUUGGACAAUGGGGGAAACCCUGAUCCAGCGACGCCGCGUGAGUGAAGAAGUAUUUCGGUAUGUAAAGCUCUAUCAGCAGGGAAGAAAAUGACGGUACCUGACUAAGAAGCCCCGGCUAACUACGUGCCAGCAGCCGCGGUAAUACGUAGGGGGCAAGCGUUAUCCGGAUUUACUGGGUGUAAAGGGAGCGUAGACGGCGAUGCAAGUCUGAAGUGAAAGGCGGGGGCUCAACCCUUGGACUGCUUUGGAAACUGUAUUGCUAGAGUGCAGGAGAGGUAAGUGGAAUUCCUAGUGUAGCGGUGAAAUGCUUAGAUAUUAGGAGGAACACCAGUGGCGAAGGCGGCUUACUGGACUGUAACUGACGUUGAGGCUCGAAAGCGUGGGGAGCAAACAGGAUUAGAUACCCUGGUA
Molecule: ribosomal RNA, 434 nt
Filed under: uncultured Clostridiales Family XIV bacterium
Lineage: Bacteria; Bacillati; Bacillota; Clostridia; Eubacteriales; Clostridiales Family XIV. Incertae Sedis
Description: bacterial SSU rRNA
Rfam family: Bacterial small subunit ribosomal RNA
Source: RNAcentral